GACGAACGCUGGCGGCGUGCCUAAUACAUGCAAGUAGAACGCUGAAGGAGGAGCUUGCUUCUCUGGAUGAGUUGCGAACGGGUGAGUAACGCGUAGGUAACCUGCCUGGUAGCGGGGGAUAACUAUUGGAAACGAUAGCUAAUACCGCAUAAUAGUAGAUGUUGCAUGACAUUUGCUUAAAAGGUGCAAUUGCAUCACUACCAGAUGGACCUGCGUUGUAUUAGCUAGUUGGUGGGGUAACGGCUCACCAAGGCGACGAUACAUAGCCGACCUGAGAGGGUGAUCGGCCACACUGGGACUGAGACCCGGCCCAGACUCCUACGGGAGGCAGCAGUAGGGAAUCUUCGGCAAUGGACGGAAGUCUGACCGAGCAACGCCGCGGGAGUGAAGAAGGGUUUCGGAUCGUAAAGCUCUGUUGUAAGAGAAGAACGAGUGUGAGAGUGGAAAGUUCACACUGUGACGGUAUCUUACCAGAAAGGGACGGCUAACUACGUG
Molecule: ribosomal RNA, 495 nt
Filed under: uncultured bacterium
Lineage: Bacteria
Description: partial 16S ribosomal RNA
Rfam family: Bacterial small subunit ribosomal RNA
Source: RNAcentral